GACGAACGCUGGCGGCGUGCCUAAUACAUGCAAGUCGAACGCAUUUUCUUUCACCGUAGCUUGCUACACCGAAAGAAAAUGAGUGGCGAACGGGUGAGUAACACGUUGGUAACCUGCCCAUCAGCGGGGGAUAACACUUGGAAACAGGUGCUAAUACCGCAUAAUUCCAUUUACCGCAUGGUAAAUGGAUGAAAGGCGCUUUUGCGUCACUGAUGGAUGGACCCGCGGUGCAUUAGCUAGUGGGUGGGGUAACGGCCUACCAAGGCUGCGAUGCAUAGCCGACCUGGGAGGGUGAUCGGCCACACUGGGACUGAGACACGGCCCAGACUCCUACGGGAGGCAGCAGUAGGGAAUCUUCGGCAAUGGACGCAAGUCUGACCGAGCAACGCCGCGUGAGUGAAGAAGGUUUUCGGAUCGUAAAACUCUGUUGUUAGAGAAGAACAAGGAUGAGAGUGGAAAGUUCAUCCCUUGACGGUAUCUAACCAGAAAGCCACGGCUAACUACGUG
Molecule: ribosomal RNA, 507 nt
Filed under: uncultured bacterium
Lineage: Bacteria
Description: partial 16S ribosomal RNA
Rfam family: Bacterial small subunit ribosomal RNA
Source: RNAcentral